This 1375-nucleotide long non-coding RNA is filed under the name Homo sapiens (human). Its description in RNAcentral is "HSALNT0137951". The record is from RNAcentral. Lineage: Eukaryota; Metazoa; Chordata; Mammalia; Primates; Hominidae.
CUAAAAUGAUUAUCUGUAAAGCUACAGAAGUUUAAUACUGAGGAUGUAUUACAAUUAUUUUUGAUAUCAGGAUAAAAAUACCUGUUCAUGAAUGAUGGUAUUGAUUUUCUCUUCUGACUUGUCUCCAGUUACAGGUGUAAUAGCCAAUAUUACUUAUAUUAACAACUAGCACCCAUUUUAAAAUUUCUGUAGUGCUGAUAAUUUAUAUGCAAGGAAAUUAAGACAAUGAGUUAUCAAUACUUGGGUUGAAUCAGUGUGAGAAACUAAAAUGCAAAUAGGUAAAAAAAAUAGGUUACUUCACUAAGUUUUCAUAAUGCAUUUGAAAACGUGGUUUCAUAAUGCAAUGACCUGGGGCUACCAACUGUUUGUAAUAGCACAAAUCUAAACAGUAUUAUGGGCAUAUAUUUCAAUAGCUCACAUCCUUCUUGAAAGAAAAUCAUUUUUCAUGGCCAUUAUUCACAUAAAAGUUCAAAUCUCUCCAAUCAGCUUUUAUAUAACAGUUUUAUGGAUUUAUCUUAGGAACAAAAUUAACCAAAAGACCCUGUAGUAGUUUUCCUUCCAGCAUAUCUUCUCUACCUAUUUUAUUAUUCAUUGUAAAACUACUGGGUGAAUAGUAUAUGUUUUUUCAGAUGUUUCUAAUCAGUAGAUAAAUAGGUACACAUAGUGCACAAAAAUCUAAGACAGAGAAGGUGAAUAAAAAAGUGUUAUUUAUGGGCAACCCCCUUUGGGUCCCCUCCCACUGUAUGGGAGCUGUGUUUUCACUCUAGUAAAUCUUGCAACUGCACACUCUCCUGCUCCGUGUUUGUUAUGGCUCGAGCUGAGCUUUCGCUGGCCGUCCACCACUGCUGUUUGCCACUGUUGCAGACCCGCCACUGACUUCCACCCCUCCGGAUCCAGCAGGGUGUCCACUGUGCUCCUGAUCCAGCAAGGCGCCCAUUGCUGCUCCUGAUCGGGCUAAAGGCUCGCCAUUGUUCCUGUACAGCUAAGUGCCUGGGUUCGUCCUAAUCGAGCUGAACACUAGUUGCUGGGUUCCACGGUUCUCUUCUGUGACCCACAGCUUCUAAUAGAGCUAUAACACUCACCUCAUGGCCUAAGGUUCCAUUCCUUGGAAUCCAUGAGGCCAAGAACCCCAGGUCAGAGAACAAAAGGGAUGCCACCAUCUUGGGAGCAGCCCGCCACCGUCUUGGGAACUCUAACAACAAAGACCCACUGGUAACAUUUGGUGGCCUCAUACAGGGAUUCUCUAAAGCAAAUGAAGACCAUCCCUGGGCAAAAUUGCGAAGAAGUGGAAGGAAAGAAGAGAAAGAAGAAGAAAGGAAUAUAGGCCCUCAUAGAGGUGGACCCCUUGAUCUUGAACUCCCCAAUCUCCAGAACU